Molecule: long non-coding RNA, 1117 nt
Organism: Hyaena hyaena (striped hyena)
Lineage: Eukaryota; Metazoa; Chordata; Mammalia; Carnivora; Hyaenidae
Exons: 3
Source: RefSeq, a predicted model, not a curated record
CUAAUCCAGGAGGACUUUUCGGUGGAGGCAUCGCGCGUGGGGCGGGAGCCUGCGACUGGCAAGACCACGGAAACUCGCGGCUUGGGUCCUGGCUGAACCAAGCGGAAACUUAGGUGUCCGGCAGCCGGGUGGACUCCAGCUCGAUCUGUUGCGACGCUGGGGCUGACUGAGUAGGGACCGAAGGAAACAGGAACCUUGCCACCCUGGCCCACCCGGAAUUCGUAGAUGCACUUCCCGGGAGCGCUGUGCGAGGCGGCAGCGGCGCGCAGACCCCCCCGCUUUGGGACAGAAUGAACUGACAGAGAAGUUCUUAAAGUAUGGCUUCAGACAAAGACCAGCAAAAUCAUUGGCAUCCCCUGCGAACUUGUUAGAAAUGGAAAUCCUCGGGUCCCAUCCAUAGACUUAUUAAGUCAGAAACAAUGGAGAUAUGGCUCAGCAACUUGUGUUUUAAUAAGACUGCCAGGUAAUUCUGAUUCAAGCUAAAGUUUGAGAACCACUUACCUGACCUAACAACAGUUACUAUUUUUCCAUCUUUGGAAGAAUAGUAAUAAGCUGUAAGAACAACAAUGAUAAAAACUGCAAGAAACUACCACAGGUACUCCCAUGAAUCUCAUGUGCAAUAUGGGCCAAGCAUUGUCGUGUGUGUGUGUGUGUGUGUGUGUGUGUGUGUGUAGGUGUGUGUGAGAGAGAGACAGACAGAGAGAGAGAGAGAGAGUAAUUUCAUUUAAUCUUUAAGACAAUCUAGAAGCAAAUAUGAUUUCAAUUUAAAAGAUAAGGAAGCGGGCAUGGAAAAGUAACUUGUACAUGGUCAAAGCGUAACCAGCAGAAACAGGAGUCAAAUUCAAAUCUACAAUAACAAAGAUUAUAGCUUUCUACUAUACUAUACUUAACAGGUAACAUACACAAUGUCUCUUGUACUAUUCGUAAUGAAGGUAAUUAUUUCUACUUAAAAGGUUAAGUCAUGAAUCUACCUUUUGAAUCAAGAUAUGCUUAUUAAUUAGUACUGUUAAAAUAACUUGAAUACAGAUAUGGUGGUAUAUGGACUUGAUCUGAGAAGUAAAGACACUUACCAUUGACAAACACCCAAAAUAAUAAUAAAAAAAGAUUUAACCUCUCA